GGGGCCAUAGCUCAAUUGGGAGAGCGUCUGCCUUGCACGCAGAAGGUAGAGGGUUCAAAUCCCUCUGGCUCCA
This 73-nucleotide transfer RNA is filed under the name Pseudobacteroides cellulosolvens ATCC 35603 = DSM 2933. RNAcentral's name for it is "Bacteroides cellulosolvens ATCC 35603 tRNA". It matches the Rfam family "tRNA". From Rfam's summary of the family: Transfer RNA (tRNA) molecules are approximately 80 nucleotides in length. Their secondary structure includes four short double-helical elements and three loops (D, anti-codon, and T loops). The record is from Rfam by way of RNAcentral. Lineage: Bacteria; Bacillati; Bacillota; Clostridia; Eubacteriales; Oscillospiraceae.